This is a non-coding RNA of Bos taurus (domestic cattle), 73 nucleotides long. Lineage: Eukaryota; Metazoa; Chordata; Mammalia; Artiodactyla; Bovidae. The record is from Rfam.
UCCCUAGUGGCUGAAACGGUAAAGAAUCUGCCUGCAAUGCAGGAGACCUGGGUUCAAUUUCUGGGUUAGGAAG